Molecule: ribosomal RNA, 394 nt
Filed under: uncultured bacterium
Lineage: Bacteria
Description: partial 16S ribosomal RNA
Rfam family: Bacterial small subunit ribosomal RNA
Source: RNAcentral
AUACGUAGGGAGCGAGCGUUGUCCGGAAUUACUGGGCGUAAAGGGCGCGUAGGCGGCGCUUCAAGUCGUCUGUCAAAUGGAAGGGCUUAACCCUUUUUCGCAGACGAAACUGGAGAGCUUGAGAAGCAGAGAGGCAAACAGAAUUCCUGGUGUAGCGGUGAAAUGCGUAGAUAUCAGGAAGAAUACCAGUGGCGAAGGCGGUUUGCUGGCUGCAUACUGACGCUGAAGAGCGAAAGCCAGGGGAGCGAACGGGAUUAGAUACCCCGGUAGUCCUGGCAGUAAACGAUGUAUGCUGGGUGUGAGACUAGCGAUAGUUUCGUGCCGAAGUUAACGCGAUAAGCAUACCGCCUGGGGAGUACGGUCGCAAGAUUGAAACUCAAAUGAAUUGACGGGG